GACGAACGCUGGCGGCGUGCUUAACACAUGCAAGUCGAACGGAAAGGCCCUGCUUUUGUGGGGUGCUAGAGUGGCGAACGGGAGAGUAACACGUGAGUAACCUGCCCUUGACUUUGGGAUAACUUCAGGAAACUGGGGCUAAUACAGGAUAGGAGAUCCUGCUGCAUGGUGGGGGUUGGAAAGUUUCGGCGGUUGGGGAUGGACGCGCGGCUUAUCAGCUUGUGGGUGGGGUAGUGGCUAACCAAGGCAUUGAUGGGUAGCCGGCCUGGGAGGGUGACCGGCCACAUUGGGACUGCGGUACGGCCCAGACUGCUACGGGAGGCAGCAGGGGGGAAUAUUGCACAAUGGGCGGAAGCCUGAUGCGGCAACGCCGCGUGCGGGAUGACGGCCUUCGGGUGGUAAACCGCUUUCGCCUGUGACGAAGCGUUAGUGACGGUAAUGAGUAAAGAAGCACCGGCUAACUACGUG
Molecule: ribosomal RNA, 468 nt
Filed under: uncultured bacterium
Lineage: Bacteria
Description: partial 16S ribosomal RNA
Rfam family: Bacterial small subunit ribosomal RNA
Source: RNAcentral